UGGGGAGCAAACAGGAUUAGAUACCCUGGUAGUCCACGCCCUAAACGAUGCGAACUGGAUGUUGGGUGCAAUUUGGCACGCAGUAUCGAAGCUAACGCGUUAAGUUCGCCGCCUGGGGAGUACGGUCGCAAGACUGAAACUCAAAGGAAUUGACGGGGGCCCGCACAAGCGGUGGAGUAUGUGGUUUAAUUCGAUGCAACGCGAAGAACCUUACCUGGCCUUGACAUGUCGAGAACUUUCCAGAGAUGGAUUGGUGCCUUCGGGAACUCGAACACAGGUGCUGCAU
This 286-nucleotide ribosomal RNA is filed under the name Stenotrophomonas maltophilia. Its description in RNAcentral is "partial 16S ribosomal RNA". It matches the Rfam family "Bacterial small subunit ribosomal RNA", at positions 762 to 1046 of the family's 1533-position model. The record is from RNAcentral. Lineage: Bacteria; Pseudomonadati; Pseudomonadota; Gammaproteobacteria; Lysobacterales; Lysobacteraceae.